UACGAAGGGGGCUAGCGUUGCUCGGAAUCACUGGGCGUAAAGCGCACGUAGGCGGAUUGCUAAGUCAGGGGUGAAAUCCUGGAGCUCAACUCCAGAACUGCCUUUGAUACUGGCGAUCUCGAGUCCGGGAGAGGUGAGUGGAACUGCGAGUGUAGAGGUGAAAUUCGUAGAUAUUCGCAAGAACACCAGUGGCGAAGGCGACUUACUGGACGAUUGUUGACGCUGAGGUGCGAAAGCGUGGGGAGCAAACAGG
This 253-nucleotide ribosomal RNA is filed under the name uncultured bacterium. RNAcentral describes it as "partial 16S ribosomal RNA". It matches the Rfam family "Bacterial small subunit ribosomal RNA", at positions 524 to 776 of the family's 1533-position model. The record is from RNAcentral.